Molecule: long non-coding RNA, 769 nt
Organism: Phascolarctos cinereus (koala)
Lineage: Eukaryota; Metazoa; Chordata; Mammalia; Diprotodontia; Phascolarctidae
Source: RefSeq, a predicted model, not a curated record
CCCCCCUGCCCCCACCCCCAAGCCAGGGACAGCUGCUCCGGAACUCCAGCAACUGACUGGGGAGCUACUCCCAGUUCAGCUUUUCCAGAGGUGGGGAGGCCAAUGACCUGGGGCUGGAGACCAGCAGGGGACAUGUUGAAAAUUGGACAGGGGAUAAACAACUAAAAAUCAAAGAGGUGCCAACCAGCUGAGGAGCAGCUGAAUAAAUUAAGGUUGCCAUGGCCCUAGAAUUCAUCACCAAAUGGUCAAUCUACUGGUAAUGGGAUUCUUCAUAUUCAACUAGGCUGGGCCUCUGAAAACAGACUUGAUGAGGAAACUGAGGCCCAAAGAAAGGAAGCUAUGGACACAAUCAGUGACAAAGCUUGGACUAAAACCCAAGUCUCUUGACUCUCUUCUUCUAGUUCAUUGCCCUUCACACCAUACCAUCCUACCUCCUAGCAAAUAAUAGCUGCUUGAUAAAAGUUUGUUAGAUUAUUUACUUACUUGGGACAUGCAUUAAGUACUGUUGAGUUGGAAGAUAAGUUAGGUUUAUAAGCCCAGUGAACUCAAGGUGUCAGCCCCAGAGAGGCUGAGAUGGUGGGCAGCAGACAUCAUACCAGAGCCCACAAUGAAGACAUGUUCUUCCCUUCCGCAGGCCCCUAUGAAGGAAUGAAGACAAUCCUAUCUUCAUCCCACCAAUUCAGCCCCAUAUAAGUAAGGAUUAUAGCAUCAUGGAUUUAGAACUGGAAGAGAUCCUCAGACUUUCAUUUUACAGAUGAAGAAGGGGCCA